Molecule: long non-coding RNA, 2200 nt
Organism: Bactrocera oleae (olive fruit fly)
Lineage: Eukaryota; Metazoa; Arthropoda; Insecta; Diptera; Tephritidae
Source: RefSeq, a predicted model, not a curated record
UUACGAUUUUCAUAUUUUUAAAAAAUUUAAAAAACAAAUCACAAUUUUUGCCGUUCUUCACACCCGUUGACUAUAAGUUCGUUUUUACAAGGCAUUAAUCAAUAAACAAUUUGUUUACAACAACUACAAACUUUUAAUUCCUCUAGGCUUCUCUUGUGAGCUCUUCCACGGCAGUAGACUGCUGUUGCCUUAGCUCCAACCGAGCGCUUAGCUUCCUCAAAAUGUUUGUUGUAAUUUUUAUAGCUUGGUCGUCUUUUUUUUGUGUUUUAUCUUUUUAUGCUAAGCUCGUGCAAAAGUAUAAUGUGUUUUUGUUAUUGUUGUACUUUUUGAUUUGUGUGUUUUUAUACGAUCGCAUUGAUUGAUUGCGCACACCUGUGAGGUUUUAAAGGUUCGUUGUCUCGCGUUGAAGGUGCCUCAAGUCGUGGCUUUAAUUUGUGGCUGAAAGGUAAGAAAAAUGCUGAUGCGUUCGUUAAUUUUUUUUCAGUUUUUUUUUUUUUUUUUUUGCUGUUCUUGUUAUUCUUUUCAUUGCCGACUCUCGAAAAUGCUGUUAGCAAUAAAUUUUUGUGGUUUGCGUUGGUGGCGUUGACUGCUCGACUGCUCAAUUGCUUGAACUGAUGUGGUUAUCCGCAUUGCUAUUGUUUGUUGUUGCUGUUGUGGUGGGGAAUUUCUGUAAUCUUUUACCAUCGCACUCCACUUAUGACUUUCACAAUUCAUUUCUACAACUCAUCAGCAAAAUGUAUUUAUGUGGGUAUAUUGAGUACUGGAGCCUUUUAUUGGGUUUGCGGUUCAGCGUUCAUGUGACUUGAAUUUAAGCGAGCAAGUGGUGAAUUUAUCAGAGUUUUUCGGUGAUUUUUAAAUAUAUAAAAAUUUAUACCAAGCAAAAUUCGUUCAGUGCACAUUUCAUGAGUCUCAAUGACAUGACAAACCGAAGGUGUAAAAUUUCUUCGAAAUCGUCAACAGAUUGGCCUCUGUACCUGGAAAAAGAUCUGGCAAACUCCAGUAUGAUAAGGAAAGGAAGGAUGGUAUUCAUCUCUAAGGAAUUUCUGUGUUUGAGGAUAAUGAUUCCAUUGGCUAUAGUACCUGAAAUUUUUAAGUAAAAGAGGUGAAGAUCCAAAAAAAGGUGACCUGAGUAUGUUAUCUUGUAGUCCAGACGAUUUUUCUCUUUAGAAAUUUGAUGAUAUGACGCGUCUAUUUUAGAUUUUAUUAUAGCUUAUCCGCUAUGCUAUUUCUCAUUUUUAGGAGAAAUGUCAUACCUCAUGAGCCCUAAAAGAAACUAUGCUUAACUUAACAAUACUUAACUUAAUAUCAGUGAUACUAUCGAAACGAAACUUUCCACGAAUGAAGUCUUUGACAUAUGGCAAACUCAUAUAAUAUAAAAAAUGUAACAGACCUAUCUACACCUCUUUUAAACCCCAUAAUCCAAUCUCUCCUACGGAAUCAUUGAAAAUGUUGAAAAAGUGUGUUGGAGAGUCUACUUUAUCACGAACACAAGUAUUUGAGUGGCACAAAGCAUUCAGUGAAAGCGUGAAUCAUCAAAACUUGACUUAUGCGAGUCAUCCAUCCACUUUGUUAAUGGCAAUAACAUAGGUUAGUUAAAGAAACAGUGCUUUAAAAUCGUCGUAUAGGAACUAGAGAGAUAGCAGAGGUCAGCAUCAGGUUCAGCAUAUCUUCAGAAUCGACUAAACACAUUUUGGUUAAUGGUUUGGUUAUGAAGCGUGUCAAUGCUAGACUUGGGUGGGACAUAUAAUAGGUGAGGGAGCAACACAAUUUUAUUCAAUUCAUUCUUUCUUUUUUUAAUUUCUAAGGCCGGGACGGCAGGGACGCUUAAUUCGGAAUACGGACUGUCCCGGCCAAACCGGGACGAAUGGUCAGCUAAUGCUGGACUCACCCAAAGACCUAAAUCUUUUGCAAAAAGAACGUCGAGUAAAGGUGCUUGACAACGUAACUGAGAACCCUACAUUCUCCAAAAGCAUUAUUGCUGGUGAUGAGACAUGAUUUUAUGAAUAUGACUGUCCAACAAUCUAGCGAAUGGCGCUCCAAAAUGAGCUGAAACCGAAAAAACUAGAACUCGCUGAAAGAUCUGUAGGGCAUCCCAGCCGAAACGAGAAUUCAACAUGCUGUAUGGAAAAUUGGAUUAAUCGUUGGAAUGCUUGUAUUAGCUCGAAAGAAGCUAUUAUGAAACCCAUAAUAAAGAUUUGCA